RNAcentral lists this microRNA precursor (196 nucleotides) under Oryza glumipatula. RNAcentral's name for it is "MIR812 microRNA precursor family". It matches the Rfam family "MIR812 microRNA precursor family". Lineage: Eukaryota; Viridiplantae; Streptophyta; Magnoliopsida; Poales; Poaceae. The record is from Rfam by way of RNAcentral.
AAUAUGUGCAGUUGUAGGAUUCCAUGUUGACUGUUCAUCUUAUUUGAAAUUUUUUCUAUAAUUACUACUUUUAUUGUUAUUAGAUGAUAAAACAUGAAUAACUAUGUGUGAUUUAUUUUUUUUAUUUUUUCAUAAAUUUUUUUAGAUAAGACGGAUGGUCAAAUCUUGUACACAGAAACCUAGAACUACACUCAAA